GGAGGGGGCUUGCUCCCGAAGGCGGUGUAUCUGCCGACAUUCGUUUUGAAUGUCAGUCCGCUUUCGGGAGCAAGCCCCCUCC
RNAcentral lists this non-coding RNA (82 nucleotides) under Pseudomonas baetica. Lineage: Bacteria; Pseudomonadati; Pseudomonadota; Gammaproteobacteria; Pseudomonadales; Pseudomonadaceae. The record is from RNAcentral.